GAUGAACGCUGGCGGCGUGCCUAAUACAUGCAAGUCGAGCGAACAGACGAGGAGCUUGCUCCUCUGACGUUAGCGGCGGACGGGUGAGUAACACGUGGAUAACCUACCUAUUAGACUGGGAUAACUUCGGGAAACCGGAGCUAAUACCGGAUAAUAUAUUGAACCGCAUGGUUCAAUAGUGAAAGACGGUUUUGCUGUCACUUAUAGAUGGAUCCGCGCCGCAUUAGCUAGUUGGUAAGGUAACGGCUUACCAAGGCAACGAUGCGUAGCCGACCUGAGAGGGUGAUCGGCCACACUGGAACUGAGACACGGUCCAGACUCCUACGGGAGGCAGCAGUAGGGAAUCUUCCGCAAUGGGCGAAAGCUUGACGGAGCAACGCCGCGUGAGUGAUGAAGGUCUUCGGAUCGUAAAACUCUGUUAUUAGGGAAGAACAAAUGUGUAAGUAACUAUGCACGUCUUGACGGUACCUAAUCAGAAAGCCACGGCUAACUACGUG
Molecule: ribosomal RNA, 497 nt
Filed under: uncultured bacterium
Lineage: Bacteria
Description: partial 16S ribosomal RNA
Rfam family: Bacterial small subunit ribosomal RNA
Source: RNAcentral